This is a long non-coding RNA of Penaeus chinensis, 436 nucleotides long. RefSeq lists it as uncharacterized. The transcript is spliced from 3 exons. The record is from RefSeq and is a predicted model, not a curated record. Lineage: Eukaryota; Metazoa; Arthropoda; Malacostraca; Decapoda; Penaeidae.
GCAGUCUACAAUCUCUCUCCAGAAUGGUUUCUCGUGUCGUGUUCGCCUGCUUGGUCGUAAUUCUGCUGGCUGCCUGCGCCUUGGCCUUUCCUGAGCCAAGCGGAGGAUACGGACACGUAGGGCACGGAUACGGACAUGGGUAUGGGGGCCACCCUGUGCCUUUAACCCAUGGCGGUUAUGGCAACGGAUACGGACACAGGCCGGCGUACUGGUGAGAGUUCCAGUUAGAAGCCGUCCAUGGAUUCUGUCUCCAGUAACACGAUAGGAAAAAAAAAUUAGCAAAAUAAUGAAACGAGGGUCAAGGAACCAGCUCUUUCUCGCUUAAAUCAUCUUCCUGUUUGUCUAAUUGGCGUCUGUCUUUUUUACAAUUACGGCUGUAUGUUUCCUGUAACAAUGUAUUUCAUUCUUAUCCCCCAAUAAAGUUCGAUUUUUCAGU